Molecule: transfer RNA, 73 nt
Filed under: Bacteriophage sp.
Description: tRNA-Cys
Rfam family: tRNA
About the family: Transfer RNA (tRNA) molecules are approximately 80 nucleotides in length.
Source: RNAcentral
GUAGGGUUGCCCGAUCGGUUAGGGGUUGGUCUGCAAAACCAAUUAGAACGGUUCGAUUCCGUUACCCUACUCA